CAGGUCGGGGGACAACUUUAAGAAAGUGUGUGGUCUGCCACACAGAAAUCAAUGUCGCGUGCAAAACUUGCAAGGCAUGCAAAGCAAAGCAACCUCAAAAGCUAAGGCUAAAAAAAAAAUUGAAAAAUUUGAUGAAAAGCGGGAGAGCUGGGUCCAUACCCACCAAAAAAAUCGGACCACCUCCCACAUCGUAGAUGAAGCUUCUAUGCUGCUUGAAAAAUUGCAGGCCCUGGGUGUAAGGGCUGUAAUAGUUUUGUCCAAGCCCGGAAGAAAAGAGAAUGCCUGGGUUUCAGAGGUUUUGGCACCCCGUUGUCAACUGACAGACACUUCUAAAAAGUGUCUUGAAAGAAUAAAGACACUCUAUGAACUUGUUAUUCAAGGCUGGACCCCACAAGUUGCUGCAGGACAUUCAUCAUCCCCAGUUGAACCCCAAACUACACGUCAACUGGCUCCACCAACAACACAGGUUGCUGUUGCCCAGCCUCAUCCCCCUGCAGCUCCACCUACACCUCAACUGGCUCCACCAACAACACAGGUUGCUGUUGCCCAGCCUCAUCCCCCUGCAGCUCCACCUACACCCCCGAAGUCUUUGAUUUGAUCAGUAGCCUCCACUGGAGCCUCCCAAGUUUGUCAAGAAAAAGGUAAGCAUAAGUAAGGGAUAAUGUAGAGUGAGGCAUUAUCCUGCCUAUUACAUGGUUACUUAACUAAAUAAAUAAUAAAUAAAUAAUUUGACACCAAAUAUUAAUUUAAAAACGAUAGUAUUGCUACCGAUAAAGAAAAAGGUCUGUUCCGUCUCUAUGGUUGGUAUCCUGCGUCCAUAGCAACGUAAACUGUAGCUGUUUAAUAUAACCCUCGGUCAGUCACUCAACACCACAGUAUCUCCUCCUCCAUGCUUGGCAUCAGUGUGUGUGCCUACCAGAUAGCCAGCUGUUUGCAGCACAUGCAUUUCUGGCAAAAGCCAGGGUCCAACAUGCAUUUAAUCCCCCAAUUACAGGCUGUGGUAGUAGCUUUCUCUUUUACCUCCAAAAUAAGUCAGGCUGUAAUGGGGUGAUGCCCUGCUAUCGCUAGCUAGGUGGAGAAAACUCCUUCAUCCAGCUGCUGUUUUAAUCAGGGCGGGUUGACUGAACUGAACAUUUCCAUUGAUGGUGAAAUGAGACGUGAAAAGUGAAUGGGACUAUUUAUGUUGACGUUUCUGUCCUCAUUCAUCUUGUUUGUGACACACUUGUAAAAACGAUGUUGCAAUGUUACCAAUUAGCGUUGUUGUCCCGAUGGCUGAAGUUACUGCGUAGCUAUCAUAGACUGUAUGAACAAAUGUAGCGAUAGGCACUCACCAGUUAUGCUGCCAUUGCCUGAAUUGCAGGAGUUGCUCGCUCCACUUUUCCCCACUUCUUCCCCACUUCUUUUUUUCAGCAGAUUGAUGGCGACCAUGACGACACCCUGCUAUGCAUGGCAACGGUCUGUUAUACUUUGCAACAGUCUGUUUUAAAGAAAUAGCAGACCAUUGAAUGCCGUCGAAUUCAACUAAGCUGUGUAAUAACAGGUUCUAUAUGAAGAGUACUGGAAAUAAGUUCUAAGCCCCUCACAAUACAUCCUGUUCCUGCUAACAGCAGAGCAUGUUUAUCCUAAAGGGUGUAAUUUCUGUAUCCAGUAAACACUUUGCACUGCCUUCAGUCCCAGAUGAAGAAAGUAUUAAUUGCAAGCCUUCGUGUUAACUCAUAUUCCAAAAUUGUCAGACCCCCUAAUGAAAGACAUUGGGUCCAUAAUUAAUAUUAGAGGGCCAAUAAAGACCAUCUCAAUUGUAAACUGUCUUAAUAA
Long non-coding RNA from Perca flavescens (yellow perch), 1815 nucleotides. RefSeq lists it as uncharacterized. NCBI's taxonomy places the organism in Eukaryota, Metazoa, Chordata, Actinopteri, Perciformes, Percidae. The transcript is spliced from 3 exons. The record is from RefSeq and is a predicted model, not a curated record.